Molecule: unclassified non-coding RNA, 2132 nt
Filed under: Hevea brasiliensis (rubber tree)
Lineage: Eukaryota; Viridiplantae; Streptophyta; Magnoliopsida; Malpighiales; Euphorbiaceae
Source: RNAcentral
GUAAAACCAAACCAAGCCGUCUCUCUCUGUUUGUGUCUCUUUCCUUCCUCUGUAUCUGAAAUCCCUCCUUUCUUAACAGAGGAAGGAAACCCAUCUCCUCCAUCUCUUUUCUCUCUCUAAAGGCGGAGGCUUUUUAGAGAGAGGAAGAGUCACAUUUUCACAUUAAACAGAAUAAAGGAAGAAGAGUAUUUUUGGUUCAAGGGAGGAAAUCAUAGACAUGGGUGGAAAGAAAUUUGCUGUUCUUCUGUGUGCAGAGGACCCUGAGUAUGUGAAAAUGAAGUAUGGAGGGUACUUUGGAGUGUUUUUGAGAAUGCUGGGAGAGGAAGGAGAGACAUGGGAUGUUUAUAAGGUAGCUUGUGGAGAGUUUCCUGAUGAUGAAGAGAUUAAAACCUUUGAUGGGUUUGUCAUCACUGGAAGCUGUAAUGAUGCUCAUGGAAAUGAUGUUUGGAUCCUAAAGCUCUUGAUUCUCUUGCAAAAGUUGAAUUCCAUGAAGAAGAAAAUUCUUGGAAUUUGUUUUGGACACCAGGUAAUUUUUAAUUGUUUAUUUUAGUGUCGGUUUGUGAUUAUUUUAUGCAGUUUAAUGUAUUCUUUAAUAUGAAUGUGCCUCUUGAACUGUCUCUUUAGGUGCCUUGUUUUCUGGGAAAUGGUCAAAUCUUGAUUGCUAUUAGGUUGUUUGGUUUGAUGGAAAAUGUUCCCUUCACAAGAUAUUCGACCUCAAACAAUGAGUUACUGUUAAAACCUGCAAGGCUUCCCUGAAUUUAAAGGCUAAAGAUUCUUAUUCUUUAGUUCAAUGAAAAGAAAUGCUAUUCUGAGUUAGAAAUAUCACACACCAUUCAAUUUCCCUUUGCCAGAAAGGGCAGAAUGGUCUUUCAAAAGUUCAAAUUCUUCCUCUCCAGAGUUGAAUAAAAUACAUUUUUUAAAUAAUAUAAUGCAAUAUGUUAAUAUCAACGUGUAGUGUAAUGCAGAAACUAAAAUGGGUCAUUUACUUCUUUGUUUGAGGUCCCCUUUGCAACCUAAUUCAUGGGUGGUCCUUGUACUGUUCAGUCCUUCUUGAUUGGGACCUUGAAAGCAGUCUUCACAUUUGUAUAGCUCUGAUUUAUACUUACAAAUGAAGUCUUUUAAAGUGGUCCCACAUUUUUGUCUUUACUCUCUUUCCCUACCUUUGAUAGUUGUGGGGUUACAAUUUCAAUUGAAAUUGGAAUAUAUUUUGGGUAUUGAUUCUUUUCCUUUCAAUCCAAUUUUAACCCUAAAUGAAUUGAAUUGUAAUUAGGUUUACAUCAAUUCUAAUUGGCAAAGUUUCUUCUCAUUGAUGAUUAGUUUUGGUUAGUCUUUUGUCUUUGAAGGGCCAUUUUGUGGUUAGGCGUUAGUGCCCAUCUUAUCAUAAGGGAAAAGUAAUAUUGUUUGGUUAUGCUAGUUUCACUUCUUUUGCCAAACUUAGUUUACCGAAAUAUAAAAGUGGGUCUCACAUUAUUUUGAAAUUUAUUAUAUAUAUACCGAACGCAUUUAACAAUCUCACCUUUGGUGGUGCAUAGUUGGAAGACAUUUGUUCUUACGUUUUGUGUACAACAAUCAAUAGAAUACUUCAUAAUAUGAAGCAAGACAUGCAUAAGCUUAUAGAAUAACAUAUCUCCAAGAACAAGAAAGAUUCCUAAACCCAAAUGGGGACAAAAGCCUUAAGUUUUUUAGCCAAAUAGACACGUUAUGUUGUAUAUGAAUGGCAAGAUAAGAUUUGUCGGUAGACUAAUUGGAUCCUUCUCAUUGAGACACAUGGGUAAUUGGGUAUCUCGAUGUUUCUAAUAUAUUUUAUUAUUUUUCAUAUUCAAGAAAAAAAUUAUGAACGUUAUGGGCAUUUUGCCUUUUGGGUAUCUUGUUUUCUAUAGCAAUUCCAACUCAUGCUCAUUGAUUGAUUGAUGGUAACCGUUAACAAAAUAAUGCCAUUCAUCAGGAUUCCAUCUCUUCUUGCAUCCAUACAUGCUUUUAAGCUUUAGUCUAAUUUCAUCAUUUAAUGUGACAUUGUGAUAUUUUUUUUAGAUUUUUCUUGCUUAAAUUUGAUUCAUUAUAGACUCAAGAUAUAAGAUAUAUGGUGGGUCCUCUUAUUAAAUAUAUGGAUCCCACAGAGUCUAUGAUAAAUC